RNAcentral lists this ribosomal RNA (686 nucleotides) under uncultured Veillonellaceae bacterium. RNAcentral's name for it is "bacterial SSU rRNA". It matches the Rfam family "Bacterial small subunit ribosomal RNA", at positions 17 to 687 of the family's 1533-position model. Lineage: Bacteria; Bacillati; Bacillota; Negativicutes; Veillonellales; Veillonellaceae. The record is from RNAcentral.
UCCUGGCUCAGGACGAACGCUGGCGGCGUGCUUAACACAUGCAAGUCGAACGGAGAUUCAGCAAUGGAUCUUAGUGGCGAACGGGUGAGUAACGCGUAGGCAAUCUGCCUUCUAGAUGGGGACAACAUCCCGAAAGGGGUGCUAAUACCGAAUGUUGUACCGUUUCCGCAUGGAGAUGAUACUAAAGGUGGCCUCUGAAUAUGCUACCGCUAGAAGAUGAGCCUGCGUCUGAUUAGCUAGUUGGAGGGGUAACGGCCCACCAAGGCUUCGAUCAGUAGCCGGUCUGAGAGGAUGAACGGCCACACUGGGACUGAGACACGGCCCAGACUCCUACGGGAGGCAGCAGUGGGGAAUCUUCCGCAAUGGACGAAAGUCUGACGGAGCAACGCCGCGUGAGUGAAGAAGGUUUUCGGAUCGUAAAGCUCUUUCGUUAGGGACGAACGUGCUCUUUGUGAAUAAUGAGGAGUAAUGACGGUACCUAAAUAAGAAGCCACGGCUAACUACGUGCCAGCAGCCGCGGUAAUACGUAGGUGGCAAGCGUUGUCCGGAAUUAUUGGGCGUAAAGCGCGCGCAGGCGGGAUAUCAAGUCUGUCUUAAAAGUGCGAGGCUCAACCUCGUGAGGGGACAGAAACUGGUAUUCUUGAGUGUCGGAGAGGAAAGUGGAAUUCCAAGUGUAGCGGUGAAAU